RNAcentral lists this ribosomal RNA (497 nucleotides) under uncultured bacterium. RNAcentral describes it as "partial 16S ribosomal RNA". It matches the Rfam family "Bacterial small subunit ribosomal RNA", at positions 28 to 507 of the family's 1533-position model. The record is from RNAcentral.
GACGAACGCUGGCGGCGUGCCUAAUACAUGCAAGUUGAGCGCUGAAGGUUGGUACUUGUUCUAACUGGAUGAGCAGCGAACGGGUGAGUAACGCGUGGGUAAUCUGCCUUUGAGCGGGGGACAACAUUUGGAAACGAAUGCUAAUACCGCAUAAAAACUUUAAACACAAGUUUUAUGUUUGAAAGAUGCAAUUGCAUCACUCAAAGAUGAUCCCGCGUUGUAUUAGCUAGUUGGUGAGGUAAAGGCUCACCAAGGCGAUGAUACAUAGCCGACCUGAGAGGGUGAUCGGCCACAUUGGGACUGAGACACGGCCCAAACUCCUACGGGAGGCAGCAGUAGGGAAUCUUCGGCAAUGGACGAAAGUCUGACCGAGCAACGCCGCGUGAGUGAAGAAGGUUUUCGGAUCGUAAAACUCUGUUGGUAGAGAAGAACGUUGGUGAGAGUGGAAAGCUCAUCAAGUGACGGUAACUACCCAGAAAGGGACGGCUAACUACGUG